AGGUGACGUGGCAGCAUACGGUU
RNAcentral lists this non-coding RNA (23 nucleotides) under Arabidopsis thaliana (thale cress). Lineage: Eukaryota; Viridiplantae; Streptophyta; Magnoliopsida; Brassicales; Brassicaceae. The record is from RNAcentral.